Long non-coding RNA from Mustela lutreola (European mink), 349 nucleotides. RefSeq lists it as uncharacterized. Lineage: Eukaryota; Metazoa; Chordata; Mammalia; Carnivora; Mustelidae. The transcript has 3 exons. The record is from RefSeq and is a predicted model, not a curated record.
UAUGUGCUCAUAGCUCUGUCCUGCUGAGACGGGGACAUUUUUCUGCUCGGGUGAAAAACCAAAGAUUGGAAAUUGAGGAGAGGCUGAGGUGAGGAAGGAAGAGAGAAGCCAGGCGCUGUGGAUGGGGUGGAGAAGGAAGCGGGUCGGUCUGGCUGGAGAUAGGGGAAGUCUUUCAGACACUUUUGAACAGGGCAAGAGAGAGAGAAGCAAAGAAGUUCUGGAACCAAACUAAACAGUCUAGAAGCCUGGAAGAGAAUGUCGAAUCCCUGAAUUUUUCAUCUGUCGCUGGACUGCUGAGUCACUGGUUUGUCACUAGGAGUUUCUUAAAUUCGUAUUCAACCCAGUUCCA